CAGCAGCCGCGGUAAUACGUAGGUGGCAAGCGUUGUCCGGAAUUAUUGGGCGUAAAGGGCCCGCAGGCGGUUUCUUAAGUCUGAUGUGAAAGCCCCCGGCUCAACCGGGGAGGGUCAUUGGAAACUGGGAAACUUGAGUGCAGAAGAGGAGAGUGGAAUUCCACGUGUAGCGGUGAAAUGCGUAGAGAUGUGGAGGAACACCAGUGGCGAAGGCGACUCUCUGGUCUGUAACUGACGCUGAGGAGCGAAAGCGUGGGGAGCGAACAGGAUUAGAUACCCCAGUAGUCCCUGUCUCUUAUAC
Molecule: ribosomal RNA, 301 nt
Filed under: uncultured bacterium
Lineage: Bacteria
Description: partial 16S ribosomal RNA
Rfam family: Bacterial small subunit ribosomal RNA
Source: RNAcentral